Equus quagga is the source of this 5582-nucleotide long non-coding RNA. RefSeq lists it as uncharacterized. The record is from RefSeq and is a predicted model, not a curated record. NCBI's taxonomy places the organism in Eukaryota, Metazoa, Chordata, Mammalia, Perissodactyla, Equidae. The transcript is spliced from 3 exons.
UUCACCCCAAGAUUUCUCUUCACUGUUGUUAGUGAACUGUUGAUUCUAACAAAUUGCUCUUAUUGACUGCAGUAGAUAAUCAACAAGUGACUAGGAUGCCUUGAAUCUUCUACCAGAAGCAAACCAUAAGAGGAAAAGAACAAGUGGGUAGCAGAUACCUGAGGAAAAUGGACGUGGACCCUUCCAGAGAGGAAAGUCUGACCUGAUGACACCUGGGUCUCAUACUAUCAAAUCAAAGGGCUUUAUGGUCUUCUAGGCAUUUUGUGGUGAAACAUGGAGCCGACCAACACAAGCGCCCCAUUGAAUGCUACAAACUUAGACCUCGGCCACUGCAACGCACACUGCAGGAUGAUUCUGACCACACUCUACAGUGUGGUUUUUCUUGGAGGCACUGCUGGAGCAGUUAUGAUGUCACGCAUGAUGUUGAAAAGGAAUAGCCAGUCAAUGAUUGCCACAAUCGUUCUCAAUAUCAUAGUGCUACAUUCGAUCCUCCUGGUCAGCCUUCCGUUCCGCCUUAGCUAUUACGUCUUAGUCACCUGGGAGUUUGGAUACUUUACCUGCCGAUUGGUUAGUAGCAUAAUAUACUGUCAUAUGUACCUCACCUUUGUUUUCUAUGUGGCCAUUGUCAUAUUCCGAUUGCUCAUCUAUUUUAAGAAACUCCAACUGCAACAGUUAAAAAAGUACCAUGCGGUAGUUUUAAGCAUUAUUAUUUGGAUAGUGGGUAGCCUUAUUUUUUUGCCAAUAUUUCUUUUACUAUAUGGCACAAGUUCAAGUUACUCAGAACAGCAACGAUGCUUUGAGUUCUACAAAGACUUCAACCACAGGGAAUUCAUCAUCUUGAAUUACUCUAUGAUUGCUAUUAUGAUGACAGUGGUGGUGACCCUCUUUCUGAUACAGAUGGGUGUCAUUGUUCAACUCAUAAAGGUUCUUUGGCCUGACCUGUGGGCUCAUCAAGAGUAUAGAGCUCAAAUCAAGAGCUGCUUCUUCCUUCUAGUAAUAGUCGUCUGUUUUAUACCCCACCAUGCAUUCCGGGUACACUUUCUUCAGAAUUAUUCAGAGGGAGAAAAUUCUGAGUUAGUUCUUUAUAAUGAAAUUUUUGUGGCUUUAACUACUGUCUGUUGCCUGGAUAUGCUGUGUUUCAUAGGUGGAGUUAUCCAUUAAAUACUCCUAUUUCGUUUACUUUGUAAUUUGUUUCCCAUCACGGUGACAAAAUAGUUUUAAUUGAAUGGGUGCUGCUAGCACGAUUUCAAAAUUUUUCAAGUUCUCUGCUUUUAAUCAUCACCAAAAUUAUUUUUCUAUGAAAAAGGAAUAAAUGUUGGUUGUUUCCUUCUCCUCAGAGAACUGUUAUCUGUUUGCCCUUAACCAUAGAAUGUAUUCAAUCUCCUUAGCGCCACGCAAGUUGACCUCAAACAUCCCUUACAGACUCAACUCCUAUCUCUUUUGCCUGCAAUAUUUACUUCUGCUAAGCACACGUAUUGGCUUUCCCUAUGCACUCUCCAGGCUGUUCUACUCUUUGCAUUUGCUGCCACUGACCUUUGAUCUUAGAAUGUUCUUUCCCUCCAUCUCUAAGCUGUCUAUUCUUCAAGGUCCAGAGAACCUGAAGGUGGGAACUCUAUCGAAGCUUUAACUUACUCAACUUAUAAUCAACAUGAGAUAGCUACCUCUUGAAAACUACUGAUAGCUAGUCAUGCUGUAGCUGCUGGCUGUGGUAUCUGGAGGAAGAGAUUCACUCAGAUAGUCAAGAGACUUAGAGGAAACCCUUUCAGGUUGAUGGGGUGUUGAUGUGGUUUGAUUCUGAUUAAAGUGUUAGUAGGUACUCAGGAAGCUGAGAUGAUCUCCUACGUCUACCUUCCCAGACUUGGAUCCAUUAAGCAGAAAAAGAAAUUGGAAAAGGUGGAAGGCAGCUGGAGUUGGCUAAGCAUGCUGGCAGGCUGUAUUAGAGCCCAAACCUUUGAGACUGUGGGACUUUUAUUAAGCUUUUUCAAGACACCCAAUAUGAUCAAAUAGUGUCACAUAAUUAAAAUCAACACUAUCAUCUAAUGGGUGUCACCUAAACUCAAUAAAAGCAACCAUGACAACCAACCAAUCUGGUAUAGAAAUUGACAUGUACUUAAACCUUGCUUAUAAUAAUUCUACCUUGGAGACGAAAUUUGAUGAAUCAAAUAACCAAAACAUUGCUCUUACUGGUUCAUAAGGCAGCAGAGUUUAUGCAAAGGACUUUUGAAGUCAUCUGGAGAUCUGAAUUCAAAACUGUUUAGUAACUAUGGAAUCUUCGGUGAGGUAUUUAUAAUCUCUGAGCUCCAGUUUCCUAUAUUACAGGAUUUUGGUAAAGCUGAAAUAAGAUAACAGCCUCUGUUAAAUAGUGCCAUAAUGCCUGGCAUGUGGUGUUCAGAAUAAUAUUACUUCUUUUCCUAAUUCAGUGACACAUUUUGCAAGAAAAUUUUAACACAUCACCAAAAUGUUCAUCCAUAUAGAAGUAUAUUUUAGAGGUUCAGAUGCUAUUGAUCAAUGUUGAUCUCAUGCUUUAUGUCACUAUUAAAUCAAUGACUAAACGGAUGCUUUUUCCUAUUUUUGCCUAUAAGAACUUGCCAUUAUUAUUAUUACUAUAAUUAUUAGUUAUACCCCAAAAUACUCUAGUAGUACCAUUUUACAAUCCUGCCGUCACAGUACAAGAUGAUUUGUAAGCACUGUUUUAGGGUCCAUGGUAUGUCUUGAGUAGUAGUCACCUCAAGAUUGAUUGUGAUUACUUAUAGUCAGCAUAUAGUCAGUACCCAACUUACUAAUCAUAGGGUUCCAUGAGCUGGUUUUUAAUAUGGUAGACAGCCUCUAAGAAGGCCUCCAAAGAUCCCUGCCUCCUAAUAUCCAUGCCCCUGUGUAAUCUCUCCUAUAUUGGCUAUUGACUUCUUAAGAACAGAACAAGGCAGAAUGAUGGGGUAUCACCCCCAUUGUUAGAUUAUGAAAAGACUGUGCCAUCCGUAUUGGGUACUCUCUUUUUCUUGUUCUCUCUUGGAUUGCUUCACUCUGGAGUAAACCAGCAGCCGUGUCAUGAGGCAGCGCAUGUGGCAAAGAAUUUUGAGACCAUCUAACAGCCAUAUGAGUGAGCUUAGAAGUGGAUCUUCUGACACCAGCCAGUCGCCGUGGAAUAAGCUUGGAAGCAGUUCCAUUUGAGUCUUGAGAUGAUUGCAAUGCUGGCUGACCUUGACUGCAGCCUCAUGAGAGACCCUGAGCCAGAACCACUCGGCUAACCUGCUCCUAGAUUCCUGACCUGAAACUGUGCUCAUAGCACAUCCUAAUUCUGAGUAGCCACAUUUCAGUAGCCACACAUGGUUCAUGGUUAAAGUAUUGGACAGCACAGGUCCAAAUUACCCAGAGAUCGACUAGGGUUGUACCCCAGGACCCUUUCCUUACAAGAGAUGGCCAUGUAUCUCUCUGACAUUCAGUUUCCUCCUACGUGGAAUAGUAACAAUAGAACCUACUUUAGAGAGUUGAGAUGAAAAUACACGGUAUUGUAUAAGGUGCAAAUAUCAGUCCCCAGCAUGUGGCAAAUGUUCGGUAAAUGGAAUGUUAUUAUUUUUACUGUCCUUGUUGUAUAUAUUGGAAAGAGAAGGACAAGGACAGACAACUCUGUAAUCAGAUGCCCUGCAAUGUUUCUGGGACGCUUUAGCUUGGACAUUCUCAACAGAGACCCAUUCUUCCUUCCUGCUGACACCCUCCUUCUUGUCUCUCCAACCCACAGCCAUCCCUGAUCUCAGCUGGCAGUGGGCUUCUGUGUUACCAGUGCUUAUCUGACUUAAAUGGUCCUUCCUUGGGGAAGUGCUCAGAUCCUGUGUCCCAGAGGACUCCUUCCUUUAAUCUUAUUUGACCCAAUCUGUGUUACUUCACCACGAGGUGUUCUCACCUAAGUGUGUAGUUGGUUUCCAGGUAUCCAUACAAAUUACUCAAAAUAAAACAAAUACAUUAAACAUGUGUGUGAUGGUUAAUUUUGUGUGUCAACUUCACUGGCUGUGAGUGCCCAAGUUGAACAUUAUUUCUUGGGUGUGUUUGUGAGAGUAUGUCCAGAUGAGACUAGCAUUUCAAUCAGUGGACUCGGUAAAGUAGAUUGCCCUCCUCACUGUGGGUGGGCCUCAUCCAGUCUGUUGCAGGCCUGGAUAGAACCAAAGGUAGAAGGAGGAAUUCACCCCCUUUUUUCCCCGCCUCACUGACCGAUCCGGGACAUCGCAUCUCAUUUCCUGCUCUCAGACUGAAACUUAGACCUUGCUCUCCUGGUUCUCGGGCCUUCGGAUGUGGGCUGAAUUAGCCACUGGUUUUCCUGCGUCUCCAGCUUGCAGAGCAGGCGAUGGGACUCAGCCUUCACAAUUCCUCAUAAUCAGUCAGUCAGUCAAUCAAUCUCUCGCUCGCUCUCCCUCUCUCUCUUCCUUUGUCCUUUCAGGCCUGGAUGUGCUGUGUGCUACUCUCUGCUUCCAUCAGUGUCCCUUGCUCUAUUUGGGUCAUUUAUGUUCUUAUAAUUUUUAUUUUAAUAAUCUUGCUCAAACAUCGAUGGUUAUUUCUUUAGAAUUAAUACACCUUAUUAUAUAAGUAAUACUUGACUAUUUUCAGUGCCAGUAUCCAAAUAUUGCAGAUACAACUAACGGCUUAUUGCAUCCAGUCCUUGUCCCCCCUCUAGAUAAAAACUGCUGUUAUCUGAUAAGUCUGUAUUUCGAGGCCUUUAUAUAUAUUUAAAUGCAUGUAACAUUUAUAUUUUUAUAGUAAUUGUAUUUUAAAAAUGCCUGGCACAUGGAAAGCAGGUUGUGUUUUUCACAGAGUUUUUGUUUCAUUGACGUUUUUAAAAUUAACGGCAUAAAGUUGCUGUAAUAUUCCAUUAUUGUCAUUUUAAUCGCUAUGAGUUUAGGCGUGAUAGCCCCUUUUCCAUUUGUGACACUGGUAAUUCGUGUUUACUCUAUUUUUCUCCAUCAGUUUAGCUAUGAGUUUAUCAAUUUUAUUGAUCUUUAUAAAAACCCAACUUUUGAUUUUGUCAAUUUUCCUUAUCUUCUAUUUAAUUGAUUUUUAUUCUAACCUUUAUUAUUUUCUUUCCUCAAUUUACUUUGUUAUUUCUUUUAGCUCUUAAGUUAUAACUUAGAUCGUUAUUUUAAAACCUGUCUCAUCUUUACUUAAAUAAUAUAAGUAUUUAAAGUUAUAAUUUCCAUCUAAGCGCUGAAUUAGCAACAUCCAACAAAUUUUGGUACUUUGUGUUUUAAUUAUCAUUCAGCUGGAAAUAUUUUCUAAUUUCCUUUUUCAUUUCUUAUUUGACUAAUGGGUUAUUUGGUAGUUAUUAAUAUCCGUUAAAUGGAGUGUUAUUAUUUUUAGCAUCCUUGCUGUAUAUAUUGGGAAGAGAAGGACAAUGGCAGACAAUUGUGUAAUCAGAUGGCCUGCAAUGUUGUCUGUUAGAAGCAUGUUGCUUGACUUUCAGGUAUUUAAGACUUUACCAAAUAUUGUAUUAUUAUGCUUAUUUCUAUUGUUAUCGGAAAUGUGCUAAAUAUGCUAAAGCUUCCAAUUUUUGAAAUUUAUUGUGAUUUUUAAAAAUUCCCUGGGGGCUGGCCCAGUGG